This 466-nucleotide ribosomal RNA is filed under the name uncultured ammonia-oxidizing beta proteobacterium. RNAcentral describes it as "bacterial SSU rRNA". It matches the Rfam family "Bacterial small subunit ribosomal RNA", at positions 198 to 645 of the family's 1533-position model. The record is from RNAcentral. Lineage: Bacteria; Pseudomonadati; Pseudomonadota; Betaproteobacteria.
GGAGGAAAGCAGGGGAUCGCAAGACCUUGCGCUUUUGGAGUGGCCGAUGCCUGAUUAGCUAGUUGGUGGGGUAAUGGCCUACCAAGGCGACGAUCAGUAGUUGGUCUGAGAGGACGACCAGCCACACUGGGACUGAGGCACGGCCCAGACUCCUACGGGAGGCAGCAGUGGGGAAUUUUGGACAAUGGGCGAAAGCCUGAUCCAGCAAUGCCGCGUGAGUGAAGAAGGCCUUCGGGUUGUAAAGCCCUUUCAGUCGAGAAGAAAAGGUUGUGACUAAUAAUCACAACUCAUGACGGUAUCGACAGAAGAAGCACCGGCUAACUACGUGCCAGCAGCCGCGGUAAUACGUAGGGUGCGAGCGUUAAUCGGAAUUACUGGGCGUAAAGGGUGCGCAGGCGGCUUUGUAAGUCAGAUGUGAAAUCCCCGGGCUUAACCUGGGAAUUGCGUUUGAAACUACAAAGCUAGA